RNAcentral lists this ribosomal RNA (1454 nucleotides) under metagenome. Its description in RNAcentral is "bacterial SSU rRNA". It matches the Rfam family "Bacterial small subunit ribosomal RNA". The record is from RNAcentral.
AGAGUUUGAUCCUGGCUCAGGAUGAACGUUGGCGGCGUGCCUAAUACAUGCAAGUCGAACGGAGAUAGCAAUAUCUGAGUGGCGCACGGGUGAGUAACACGUAGCUUACCUACCCUAGAGAACGGGAUAACGUUCCGAAAGGAAUGCUAAUACCGCAUAAGCUCACGAUCUGUAGAGGGUUGUGAGAAAAGGAGAAAUCCGCUCUAGGAUGGGGCUGCGGCCCAUCAGCUAGUUGGCGAGGUAACGGCUCACCAAGGCGACGACGGGUAGGGGACCUGAGAGGGUGACCCCCCACACUGGGACUGAGACACGGCCCAGACUCCUACGGGAGGCAGCAGUAAGGAAUAUUGCACAAUGGGCGAAAGCCUGAUGCAGCGACGCCGCGUGGGUGAUGAAGGUCUUCGGAUCGUAAAGCCCUUUUCUGCGUGACGAGAAAAAGGACAGUAGCGCAGGAAUAAGUCUCGGCUAACUACGUGCCAGCAGCCGCGGUAAAACGUAGGAGACAAACGUUAUCCGGAGUUACUGGGCGUAAAGGGCGUGUAGGCGGUUUAUUAAGUUCGUCGUGAAAUAGCUCGGCUUAACCGGGCGGGGUCGAUGGAUACUGGUAGACUUGAGGACGGUAGAGGCGUGUGGAAUUCCGGGUGUAGUGGUGGAAUGCGUAGAUAUCCGGAGGAACACCAGUGGCGAAGGCGACACGCUGGGCCGUACCUGACGCUAAAGCGCGACAGCAUGGGGAGCGAACGGGAUUAGAAACCCCGGUAGUCCAUGCCGUAAACGAUGUCAACUGGGUGUUCGGGGGGGGAAACCUUCCUGGGUACCGAAGCAAACGCGAUAAGUUGACCGCCUGGGGAGUACGGUCGCAAGGCUAAAACUCAAAGGAAUUGACGGGGGCCCGCACAAGCAGCGGAGCGUGUGGUUUAAUUCGAGGCUACACGAAGAACCUUACCUGGGUUUGACAUAUAAGUGGUAGUGAACUGAAAAGGGAACGACCUUCGAGAGCUUAUACAGGUGCUGCAUGGCUGUCGUCAGCUCGUGCCGUGAGGUGUUCGGUUAAGUCCGCAAACGAGCGCAACCCUCGGCGUUAGUUACAAGUGUCUAACGCGACUGCCCGUGAGAAACGGGAGGAAGGUGGGGAUGACGUCAAGUCAGCAUGGCCUUUAUAUCCAGGGCUACACACACGCUACAAUGGUCGGUACAACAGGUUGCGAAGCCGCGAGGUGAAGCCAAUCCCCAAAGCCGAUCGUAGUUCGGAUUGCAGGCUGCAACUCGCCUGCAUGAAGUCGGAGUUGCUAGUAACCGCAGGUCAGCUAUACUGCGGUGAAUACGUUCCCGGGCCUUGUACACACCGCCCGUCACGUCAUGGGAGCUGGUCACGCCUGAAGUCGGGAAGGUAACCGCAAGGAGCCUACCGCCGAGGGCAGGGCCGGUGACUAGGACGAAGUCGUAACAAGGUA